UGAGGUCUCUCUCUCUCUGUGUGUGUGUGUGUAGAUGAGGUCUCUCUCUCUCUCUGUGUGUGUGUGUGUGUGUGUGUAGAUGAGGUCUCUCUCUCUCUGUGUGUGUGUGUGUGUGUGUGUGUGUAGAUGAGGUCUCUCUCUCUCUGUGUGUGUGUGUGUAGAUGAGGUCUCUCUCUCUCUCUCUGUGUGUGUGUGUGUGUGUAGAUGAGGUCUCUCUCUCUCUGUGUGUGUGUGUGUAGAUGAGGUCUCUCUCUCUCUGUGUGUGUGUGUGUGUGUGUAGAUGAGGUCUCUCUCUCUCUGUGUGUGUGUGUGUAGAUGAGGUCUCUCUCUCUGUGUGUGUGUGUGUGUGUAGAUGAGGUCUCUCUCUCUCUGUGUGUGUGUGUGUAGAUGAGGUCUCUCUCUCUCUGUGUGUGUGUGUGUAGAUGAGGUCUCUCUCUCUCUGUGUGUGUGUGUGUAGAUGAGGUCUCUCUCUCUCUCUGUGUGUGUGUGUGUGUAGAUGAGGUCUCUCUCUCUCUCUGUGUGUGUGUGUGUGUAGAUGAGGUCUCUCUCUCUGUGUGUGUGUGUGUGUGUGUGUGUGUAGAUGAGGUCUCUCUCUCUCUCUCUGUGUGUGUGUGUGUAGAUGAGGUCUCUCUCUCUCUCUGUGUGUGUGUGUGUAGAUGAGGUCUCUCUCUCUCUCUCUGUGUGUGUGUGUGUAGAUGAGGUCUCUCUCUCUCUCUCUGUGUGUGUGUGUGUGUGUGUGUGUGUAGAUGAGGUCUCUCUCUCUCUGUGUGUGUGUGUGUAGAUGAGGUCUCUCUCUCUCUCUCUGUGUGUGUGUGUGUAGAUGAGGUCUCUCUCUCUCUCUC
Molecule: long non-coding RNA, 842 nt
Organism: Lates calcarifer (barramundi perch)
Lineage: Eukaryota; Metazoa; Chordata; Actinopteri; Centropomidae
Exons: 4
Source: RefSeq, a predicted model, not a curated record